RNAcentral lists this ribosomal RNA (460 nucleotides) under uncultured bacterium. Its description in RNAcentral is "partial 16S ribosomal RNA". It matches the Rfam family "Bacterial small subunit ribosomal RNA", at positions 338 to 795 of the family's 1533-position model. The record is from RNAcentral.
CCUACGGGAGGCAGCAGUGAGGAAUAUUGGUCAAUGGACGAGAGUCUGAACCAGCCAAGUAGCGUGAAGGAUGACUGCCCUAUGGGUUGUAAACUUCUUUUAUAUGGGAAUAAAACGUGCCACGCGUGGGAUGUUGUAUGUACCAUAUGAAUAAGGAUCGGCUAACUCCGUGCCAGCAGCCGCGGUAAUACGGAGGAUCCGAGCGUUAUCCGGAUUUAUUGGGUUUAAAGGGAUCUUAGGUUGAUUGUUAAGUCAGUUGUUAAAGUUUGCGGUUUAACCGUAAAAUUGCAGUUGAAACUGGCAGUCUUGAGUACAGUAGAGGUGGGCGGAAUUCGUGGUGUAGCGGUGAAAUGCUUAGAUAUCACGAAGAACUCCGAUUGCGAAGGCAGCUCACUGGACUGCAACUGACACUGAGGCUCGAAAGUGUGGGUAUCAAACAGGAUUAGAUACCCGGGUAGUC